GCCUCGCCGGGGAGGAGGAGGGGCCGGGGCCGAGCCGGACCCCUCGGGAGGCCCCCGCGCAGGCCCGACCCCGCCCCAGCGCGCAGCCCGCGCUGCCAUUGGCGCCGCGCGCAGCCCCGCUGAACUGCCGGGGAGAGGCGGGGGAGACGCGCACCGGCCCGCGAGCGGGGGCCGGAGCUGGGGGCUCAGGGCAGCAGGUAGCGAGGCCGAGCCCCUCUCUCCAGGACGCCCUAUUUAAGCCAGGGUGUCAGUUGCUGACGAAUCAGCUUAAUCCCCCCAAAGUGAGCAAACUCCCGCGCCCUUGGCGUUUGCUGGGCGGAAACUCCUUCGCCUUAACCAAGCGCGGGUUCCGUCUUCCUGAACUGAGACCACGGGCACGUCGGCUCUUUUCAGAAGGUCAAGCGGCUAAUCCUCGAAGUCAUCCGGCAUAGCCAGAGUCUGUUCUUCCCCCCCCGUCCGAAAUGGCAAUUGUAACAGCCACAGGGCUCCCAGGAGACGUGGGUGCAAUAACGCUCAUGCCCAGUGUGGAGUCCAGUUCGAGGCUUGAACUCUGGAACCUGAGAUCAAAACCUGAGCUGAGAUCAAGAUACGGAUGCUUAACUGAGAGGUGACAUUUUCUCCAGGUUCUAAGGACAGAUCACCACGGCCCCUCUGCAAGAAUUCUUGGGGCGCCUGGGUGGCUCAGUCAGUUGAGCGUCCAACUUCCGACUUCUGCUCACGUCAUGAUCUCCCGGUUCGUGAGUUCGA
This is a long non-coding RNA of Herpailurus yagouaroundi (jaguarundi), 747 nucleotides long. RefSeq lists it as uncharacterized. The record is from RefSeq and is a predicted model, not a curated record. NCBI's taxonomy places the organism in Eukaryota, Metazoa, Chordata, Mammalia, Carnivora, Felidae. The transcript is spliced from 4 exons.